UUUAAUUUUAUUAUAAAUUAUAAAUUAUAAUUAGUUUAAUAGUUAUAAAGUUUAAUAAUUAUUUUUUCUUUGAUCGUAAUUUUGCUCUUCAUGUGACAGACUCUUAAAAGAACUCGACGAGUUAAAGGUAAUGCAUCUUUCAAAUCAAAAUUAUCAGAACGAAACUUCGAUAAGCAACUUGGAGGUUGUCGUUUACUUAAUACAACUUCUCCGUAAAUGGUACAUAACCUUUUUCUGGCUUACACUUACACCCUUACGAUAAUAAAAAUGCAAAAUAUGACAAAAA
Molecule: long non-coding RNA, 286 nt
Filed under: Polistes fuscatus (common paper wasp)
Lineage: Eukaryota; Metazoa; Arthropoda; Insecta; Hymenoptera; Vespidae
Description: uncharacterized LOC122522258
Source: RNAcentral